CAGCAGCCACGGGAAUACGGAGGGUGCAAGCGUUAAUCGGAAUUACUGGGCGUAAAGCGCACGCAGGCGGUUUGUUAAGUCAGAUGUGAAAUCCCCGGGCUCAACCUGGGAACUGCAUUUGUGACUGUAUAGCUAGAGUACGGCAGAGGGGGAUGGAAUUCCGCGUGUAGCAGUGAAAUGCGUAGAUAUGCGGAGGAACACCGAUGGCGAAGGCAAUCCCCUGGGCCUGUACUGACGCUCAUGCACGAAAGCGUGGGGAGCAAACAGGAUUAGAUACCCGCGUAGUCCCUGUCUCUUAUAC
RNAcentral lists this ribosomal RNA (301 nucleotides) under uncultured bacterium. RNAcentral describes it as "partial 16S ribosomal RNA". It matches the Rfam family "Bacterial small subunit ribosomal RNA", at positions 509 to 807 of the family's 1533-position model. The record is from RNAcentral.